Molecule: ribosomal RNA, 397 nt
Filed under: uncultured bacterium
Lineage: Bacteria
Description: partial 16S ribosomal RNA
Rfam family: Bacterial small subunit ribosomal RNA
Source: RNAcentral
AUACGUAGGGAGCGAGCGUUGUCCGGAAUGAUUGGGCGUAAAGGGCGCGUAGGCGGCGCGGUAAGUCUGGAGUGAAAGUCCUGCUUUCGAGGUGGGAAUUGCUUUGGAUACUGCCGCGCUUGAGUGCAGGAGAGGUUAUCGGAAUUCCCGGUGUAGCGGUGAAAUGCGUAGAGAUCGGGAGGAACACCAGUGGCGAAGGCGGGUAACUGGACUGCAACUGACGCUGAGGCGCGAAAGUGUGGGGAGCAAACAGGAUUAGAUACCCUGGUAGUCCACACUGUAAACGAUGAAUGCUAGGUGUAAGAGGUAUCGACACCUUUUGUGCCGGAGUCAACACAAUAAGCAUUCCGCCUGGGGAGUACGGCCGCAAGGUUGAAACUCAAAUGAAUGGACGGGG